UGGGAUGUCACACUGCUUAUGGAAGAAAGG
This 30-nucleotide non-coding RNA is filed under the name Mus musculus (house mouse). The record is from RNAcentral. Lineage: Eukaryota; Metazoa; Chordata; Mammalia; Rodentia; Muridae.